RNAcentral lists this ribosomal RNA (253 nucleotides) under uncultured bacterium. RNAcentral's name for it is "partial 16S ribosomal RNA". It matches the Rfam family "Bacterial small subunit ribosomal RNA", at positions 524 to 776 of the family's 1533-position model. The record is from RNAcentral.
UACAGAGGUCUCAAGCGUUGUUCGGAUUCAUUGGGCGUAAAGGGUGCGUAGGCGGCGCGGUAAGUCGAACGUGAAAUCCCUGGGCUCAACCCAGGAACUGCGUCCGAUACUGGAAGGCUUGAAUCCGGGAGAGGGAUGCGGAAUUCCAGGUGUAGCGGUGAAAUGCGUAGAUAUCUGGAGGAACACCGGUGGCGAAGGCGGCAUCCUGGACCGGUAUUGACGCUGAGGCGCGAAAGCCAGGGGAGCAAACGGG